Oreochromis aureus is the source of this 517-nucleotide long non-coding RNA. The record is from Ensembl. NCBI's taxonomy places the organism in Eukaryota, Metazoa, Chordata, Actinopteri, Cichliformes, Cichlidae.
UUUAGUUUUUGCUUUAAUUCUAUUGUGCAGUUAUUUGUUACCCUGAAAUGCUUUAUGCUUAACAACAGCUCACUAUUUUGACUUAUUUUUGAACUCUUGUGAUCAGUAUGACUAGUUUGUGUGAGUUUCCAUACUAAAAGAGCUGUAGUGAUAAAAUAAUUGGCAUCAGAGACACUGAUUUUUGGCAUGGUAUACUGCAGAAGUUUUUUUUUUUUUUUGCAUAAUUUACCUUUUAACUAAACUGCAUUCUCUGUAUUGUAACAAAACUAACAUUGUUUAUAUGUCAGAAAAUUAGCAAACAUGAAUAAAUGGCGAAAACAAUAUAAUUAUAACAUAUAUUUUUAUUUUACUUAUUUUAGGUCUGUGAAGCCAAACUUGAUGCUGGGGAUUUAUUUUUGUCAGUGGAGUCAAAUGAUUUCAGGACAGAGCUUAUUGUUCUCUGAACUUCCUUGUUUGCUGAACGGCAGGUUGAAGCAGAAUUUGCCCGUCUUACAUCUGUUGACCUGAAAGGGUUCCU